GAACAUGGAUGGACCUGCGGUGCAUUAGCUAGUUGGUAAGGUAACGGCCUACCAAGGCGACGAUGCAUAGCCGACCUGAGAGGGCGAACGGCCACAUUGGGAGUGAGACACGGCCCAAACUCCUACGGGAGGCAGCAGUAGGGAAUUUUCGUCAAUGGGGGGAACCCUGAACGAGCAAUGCCGCGUGAGUGAAGACGGUCUUCGGAUUGUAAAGCUCUGUUGUGAGAGAAAAAGGAUAUAUAUAGGAAAUGAUAUGUAUUUGAUGGUAUCUCACCAGAAAGUCACGGCUAACUACGUGCCAGCAGCCGCGGUAAUACGUAGGUGGCGAGCGUUAUCCGGAAUGAUUGGGCGUAAAGGGUACGUAGGCGGCAUGAUAAGUCUGGAGUGAAAGGCUACAGCUCAACUGUAGUAUGCUCUGGAAACUGUCAAGCUAGAGUGCAGAAGAGGGCAAUGGAACUCCAUGUGUAGCGGUAAAAUGCGUAGAUAUAUGGAAGAACACCGGUGGCGAAGGCGGUUGCCUGGUCUGAAACUGACGCUGAAGUACGAAAGCGUGGGGAGCAAAUAGGAUUAGAUGCCGUAGUAGUCCACUCGGGAAACGUUUAUAACUAGGAGUCGGGUUACAGUCGCGGUACAGUUAUGACCGGGAGACGUUUUUCACUCGGGG
Molecule: ribosomal RNA, 664 nt
Filed under: uncultured Bacillota bacterium
Lineage: Bacteria; Bacillati; Bacillota
Description: bacterial SSU rRNA
Rfam family: Bacterial small subunit ribosomal RNA
Source: RNAcentral